Ailuropoda melanoleuca (giant panda) is the source of this 621-nucleotide long non-coding RNA. RefSeq lists it as uncharacterized. Lineage: Eukaryota; Metazoa; Chordata; Mammalia; Carnivora; Ursidae. The transcript is spliced from 3 exons. The record is from RefSeq and is a predicted model, not a curated record.
UAGAACUGCGUUAUGGAAAAGUUGCAUGAGGUGUGGAAGCUGGCAGUGAAGCGGCAGCCACCGCGCUCUGAAGGUUAGUGUGGGGCGCAAGGUGCUGCAGCAGCUCACGCACUGAUCCACAGGCGACUCGGCUGGUGCGGGGCAGCAGGGCGCCUGCAUCUCCGCUCCCCGCUCUGGACCUCCCCCUGCAGCUUCUCUGCGUCCUGGCCCGGUGUGUGUGCAGCUCCAUGACGAAGGGGCCCAGCUUCCAUGUAGUUGAAGUUGAGAUGAUGGGAGACAGAUAUGGGGUGCAGGGGGUCCUCAUGGAUUUCAGGUUGUCCUUGUGAAUUACUGUUUGUUCCCAUAGGUUACAGUAAUCUUGCCCUUGCUCUCCUCCACUGCAUGUCCUACCUUCCUUCCGUUCCAGGCCUGCCAACCUACAGGGACUUCAGGAUUGACUCCCACCAAAUGAGAGGCUAUUUCCACAAGAAAAGAAAGAGUGGUUAGAAAUCUGUGGUUCCAGGUUCCGCCAGUCGCUGUUGGGUCUUGGGUGACCGAAUGUGUUGGAAGGAGCCAGUGAUGACUCAGGGACUUCCGGAUCAGUCCGACAUGGGAGUGCUGGGGACAAUUCAAGAGGAGAGG